Molecule: long non-coding RNA, 668 nt
Filed under: Equus asinus (donkey)
Lineage: Eukaryota; Metazoa; Chordata; Mammalia; Perissodactyla; Equidae
Description: lncRNA (ENSEASG00005024429.1)
Source: RNAcentral
AUCGAGAGGACGUGCCCAGAGGUGGACCUUCGAGCUGGCCCCAGGCAAUCGGAGGAUCUUCACUUCCUCCCCUGUCCUUGGAAUGUGUGUUCUGCCCACUGUUCCCACGGUGGCAGCUGCUUCAAGGACGCAGCCUUGAGAGAGUAAGUGUUGUUGAGAACAUCUGGAUGGAACACGUGACUGAGCCCCGUUAAGGCGUCUGUAUCAACUUGUAAGAUUCUAGUGGGCUGGCGUGGAGAUCCACUCGCCUUGCAGCGCCCAAGACAAGCCUGAACAUAAGCUCGGCAAGGCAGAGACUUGGUUGAAGUGGUCUACCCACGUCUUCUGAGCUAGAGCUGAGCCCGACACAGGUCUCACAGGCAAGGUUGCUCUCGCCUCCCCCAUGGGAGGAAGCUGGCUGUCAGUCAUCUUCCAAGGUAUGCCACACCUGAGGAUCAUCCAGCAAGAAGAGGUCACCCCAUCAGAAGGGUGGACCCCAGGAGCCAGGACUUGGGGACAAAUGAAUUGAGAAAGUUUAUUUAAUGAAGCAAUCGUGAGAAGAAAAGUUUCCAAUUACACUCCAUUCCCACUUUCAAUCCCAGGGUCCUCUAAAGUGAUGAAACAUAUCAGUGGAGCUGCCGUCCCUUGUGUAUAUGUCUUCUUCUUAUUUUCUUCCUCUUGUUCAAAAA